This 786-nucleotide long non-coding RNA is filed under the name Ananas comosus (pineapple). RNAcentral describes it as "long non-coding RNA (ACOM_LNC035819)". Lineage: Eukaryota; Viridiplantae; Streptophyta; Magnoliopsida; Poales; Bromeliaceae. The record is from RNAcentral.
UUACAUCUUUAUGUUAAAUCAAUCGUUCCUAGCGUCAGUGGCAAAAAGCUCGAUAAUGAUUGGUAAAGAUUUUAAGUUUGAAGUUUAGUUGUUUCACGUCUUAAACUAAGUUUAUUUCUGAAAAAAGUAAACGAAACAUGUGGUAUACUAUCCUUCUCUCUCUCACAAAAAAAAGAGUGACCACCUGUUCUGGGACUAUAUUUUGGUCAGAUACAUCCGUAUUUGUGCCGAAGGUUCAGAUGCAAGCGAAUCGGAUGCCGGGGAUGUACGGAGGCUAUGGACAGAUACAUCUAACAUACCCAAUGCCGCCACGAGAUCGAAAAGUUUAACUUGUUUGGCGGCAAUCUGGUGGGUCGUCUGGACUGAGCGCAACAACACUAUCUUCCGCGAGGUGCUUCCCAAUGCUACCCGGGCUCUUGAACGUGUCGCUUCUUUGACCAAUGCCUGGAACGGAGCCCUUUGACCCUUACUUGUCCCUUCUUCCAUGCUCGGUCCCCACUUCUUCCUUUUUGUUAUCCACCCCGCUUUUCUUGUUUAUUUUGUCUAAUCGGUAGGUGUAGAGUUCUUUAUUUUGGGUUUUCUUUCUUGUAUUUUUUCGGCUCUUUCAGGAGGCCCUAGCUGUCUCCAUCAAGUACGCUUAGUUCAUUUUGCUUAAUGAAUGAAGCAUGUAGCUUGCUACUUAUUUCUCAAAAAAAAAAAAAGAAAUAACGUUGCUUAUCUAAAAGCUUAAUCUGUCAGAAAAUUAUAGUUUUUUUAAAAUAUUUAUAUUCAACACUUUUUCUCAUG